AUUGAACGCUGGCGGCAGGCUUAACACAUGCAAGUCGAGCGGGGUGAUGGUGCUUGCACUAUCACUUAGCGGCGGACGGGUGAGUAAUGCUUAGGAAUCUGCCUAUUAGUGGGGGACAACAUCUCGAAAGGGAUGCUAAUACCGCAUACGUCCUAUGGGAGAAAGCAGGGGAUCACUUGUGACCUUGCGCUAAUCGAUGAGCCUAAGUCGGAUUAGCUAGUUGGUGGGGUAAAGGCCUACCAAGGCGACGAUCUGUAGCGGGUCUGAGAGGAUGAUCCGCCACACUGGGACUGAGACACGGCCCAGACUCCUACGGGAGGCAGCAGUGGGAAAUAUUGGACAAUGGGGGGAACCCUGAUCCAGCCAUGCCGCGUGUGUGAAGAAGGCCUUAUGGUUGUAAAGCACUUUAAGCGAGGAGGAGGCUCUUUUGGUUAAUACCCAAGAUGAGUGGACGUUACUCGCAGAAUAAGCACCGGCUAACUCUGUGCCAGCCGCCGCCGUAA
This 503-nucleotide ribosomal RNA is filed under the name uncultured bacterium. Its description in RNAcentral is "partial 16S ribosomal RNA". It matches the Rfam family "Bacterial small subunit ribosomal RNA", at positions 30 to 523 of the family's 1533-position model. The record is from RNAcentral.